Raphanus sativus (radish) is the source of this 1263-nucleotide long non-coding RNA. RefSeq lists it as uncharacterized. NCBI's taxonomy places the organism in Eukaryota, Viridiplantae, Streptophyta, Magnoliopsida, Brassicales, Brassicaceae. The record is from RefSeq and is a predicted model, not a curated record. The transcript is spliced from 8 exons.
AAAUUGUCGUUCUCUCUCCCUCUCUCUAUUACCACCGACGAUCUUGUCUCUUUAUUCAUCAAUUUGUAAUAAGUAAAAAAAUUAAACAUAUUCCGACCACCGACAAUCUUGUCUCUUUAUUCUCAGAUCUCGUUUCAGUGAAGCUGAUUUUAAUCGACAAAACCAAAGUGUUAAUCUUUCCUCCAUUGAAAACGAAGAUGUACUCACUCAACUCGUAUUUGUGUAUAUAUCAUCACCAAGCGAUUUAACUCCUACAUCUGAAAAGCCUCUAUUCUGACAUAUUGUGGUAGCAGACAUGAGUGGCUCUAUUCGAUUGAAACCAGAGAAGUUGAAAUCUACUUGGCUCCUGUCAAGAUCCGAGUAUUUUCUCAGGUUCUGACAGUAAUCAGCUAGAAUCCAUUCUUAUCUGGAGACCAGAUGCUACAAAUCUACAGGAUCUGAACUUAAUGACAAAAAGGAGCAACUGAAGAGAAAUAAAAAGAUCUGCAUUAGAAAGAUAAGUAAUAUAAAUGAUAGUACUGAAUACAGUUCAGAAACAACUUUGACAAGUUCUUAUUGAAUGAUUUUUUUUGUUCUGUAGGCACUUGUUAUUAUAUGAUAAGAAGAAAGAUGAAAAACAGAAACCAAACAAAGGAUAACAGACCCACUUCGAAGUACAAUCAGAAAUAACAUUAACCAUUGGAAUAACAUGCAUAGUGUUCAUCAACGAAGUCAAGGAAAAAAAAGAAGCACCUCUUCUAAAGAACCGUUGAGCAAGUGGGAAGCAGAUUCAGGAGCAACUCUGCUUGCAAUCCAAUCAAGUAGCAUUAGGUCUGAAGGAAACACUAGGGUUAGUGAUGAAGAAAUUUUCGAUGUUUCUCCACAUUCCAACAGAAAGCACAUUUGGAUGUUUCCUUGUCAACUUAUCAAGGUAUGGAGAACCUUAACUUGUACACAAAAAUCUGUCAUGAAUGGUUUGAGGUUGGCCAAACCAGUGAAUUCCAUGAUCAGAGGUAUUUGUGUAGCGAUAAAUUUUGUGACUUUUGAUUUUAGGAAGUGUGAUAAGAAUAUCGGCUGUAGAAAAGAUUUAUAUAACCACAGGCUGUUGAUGGAAACGACAUAAUUUAGUUAAGAUAAAAUCAAAAAAAAAAAUUGUAACCAUAUAGGAGUUGUGCAUAUAUUUCGGGAUAGUGGGUUAUGAAAAAUCGAAAUGCAAAUCAGAAUAGAUUAUUUGAUUACUCAAAUUUGAAAUAAAAAUUAGUAGCAUAGAUUUGGUGUUGUGGA